RNAcentral lists this ribosomal RNA (460 nucleotides) under uncultured bacterium. RNAcentral describes it as "partial 16S ribosomal RNA". It matches the Rfam family "Bacterial small subunit ribosomal RNA", at positions 338 to 795 of the family's 1533-position model. The record is from RNAcentral.
CCUACGGGGGGCAGCAGUGAGGAAUAUUGGUCAAUGGACGAGAGUCUGAACCAGCCAAGUAGCGUGAAGGAUGACUGCCCUAUGGGUUGUAAACUUCUUUUAUAUGGGAAUAAAAUGUUCCACGUGUGGGAUUUUGUAUGUACCAUAUGAAUAAGGAUCGGCUAACUCCGUGCCAGCAGCCGCGGUAAUACGAAGGAUCCGAGCGUUAUCCGGAUUUAUUGGGUUUAAAGGGAGCGUAGGUGGAUUGUUAAGUCAGUUGUGAAAGUUUGCGGCUCAACCGUAAAAUUGCAGUUGAAACUGGCAGUCUUGAGUACAGUAGAGGUGGGCGGAAUUCGUGGUGUAGCGGUGAAAUGCUUAGAUAUCACGAAGAACUCCGAUUGCGAAGGCAGUUCACUGGACUGCAACUGACACUGAGGCUCGAAAGUGUGGGUAUCAAACAGGAUUAGAUACCCGAGUAGUC